Molecule: ribosomal RNA, 253 nt
Filed under: uncultured bacterium
Lineage: Bacteria
Description: partial 16S ribosomal RNA
Rfam family: Bacterial small subunit ribosomal RNA
Source: RNAcentral
UACGAUAUGGGCUAGCGUUGAUCGGAAUUACUGGGCGUAAAGCGCACGUAGGCGGCCUUGUAAGAUGGGGGUGAAAUCCCCGGGCUCAACCCGGGAACUGCCUUCAUGACUGCAAAGCUAGAGGAUGCGAGAGGUUAGCGGAAUUCCGAGUGUAGAGGUGAAAUUCGUAGAUAUUCGGAAGAACACCAGUGGCGAAGGCGGCUAACUGGCGCAUUUCUGACGCUGAGGUGCGAAAGCGUGGGGAGCAAACAGG